RNAcentral lists this ribosomal RNA (461 nucleotides) under Ctenidae sp. RNAcentral describes it as "partial large subunit ribosomal RNA". Lineage: Eukaryota; Metazoa; Arthropoda; Arachnida; Araneae; Ctenidae. The record is from RNAcentral.
AAAAACAUCUCUAUUAUAAUAAUUAAUAGUAAAAUCUGCUCAAUGAAACUUUAAUAGCCGCUAUUAGUGCUAAGGUAGUAAAAUAAUUUGUCUUUUAAUUUAAGACCAAACAAAAGAUUUAACAUUUUAAUUAAUGUAAAAAUUUAUAUAUUAAAAUUUUUUUAAUUUUUAAAAAAAAACUAUUAAAAAAAAAGACGAUAAGACCCUAUUGAACUUUACUUAAGUUAAACUGGGGUAGUUAUUUAAAUAUAUUUUAAUUUAUAUUAUAUAUAAAUAUGACCUAUUAAAAUUAAUUAAAAAACUAAGUUACCAUAGGGAUAACAGCGUAAUAAUUUUUAAAAACUUCUAUUUUAAAAUUAGAUUACGACCUCGAUGUUGAAUUAAUACUCUAACAUUUAAACGCAAUAGUUUAUGAAGAAAGUCUGUUCGACUUUUAAACAAUUACAUGAUCUGAGUUCAAA